Molecule: long non-coding RNA, 324 nt
Organism: Toxotes jaculatrix (banded archerfish)
Lineage: Eukaryota; Metazoa; Chordata; Actinopteri; Toxotidae
Exons: 3
Source: RefSeq, a predicted model, not a curated record
AAGCUCAGUAAGGUCGAGGUGUCUCCUCAGAUGUUGAGGUGUCUCCUCAGAUGUUGAGGUGCCUGGUCUUUGAGCAGUGCUGGUUCAGUCGUCGCUGAUCCGUCACGUUCGUCCUCACAUGGGGAAAAGCAGGAAGCCACUGAAGGUGCUGUGGUGGUUGCUGUUGUCCCAGAUCUGAGUGUUGUCCCACAGCACCAUCUUCAGCUUGUCGCCCCGCUCCAGCAGCAGGGCGGCGCCGUUGGACGCCGUGUCGCUGCCCUCGCCAGACGGCUGCUCGUGGGCGAUCAGCUGGAUCUCGACCUCGUUUUUGUAGAGCACGGCGCU